UGGGCUGAGGCUUGGGUCAGGAG
This 23-nucleotide microRNA is filed under the name Mus musculus (house mouse). RNAcentral's name for it is "mmu-miR-7028-5p". The record is from miRBase by way of RNAcentral. Lineage: Eukaryota; Metazoa; Chordata; Mammalia; Rodentia; Muridae.